Mytilus californianus (California mussel) is the source of this 2746-nucleotide long non-coding RNA. RefSeq lists it as uncharacterized. Lineage: Eukaryota; Metazoa; Mollusca; Bivalvia; Mytilida; Mytilidae. The transcript has 2 exons. The record is from RefSeq and is a predicted model, not a curated record.
CAAGGUCCUCAUGCCCGUCAGACAGUUUUCACUUGACCUCGACCUCAUUUCAUGGAUCAAUGAACAAGGUUAAGUUUUGGUGGUCAAGUCCAUAUCUCAGAUACUAUAAGCAAUAGGUCUAGUAUAUUUGGUGUAUGGAAGGACUGUAAGGUGUACAUGUCCAACUGGCAGGUGUCAUCUGACCUUGACCUCAUUUUCAUGGUUCAGUGGUUAUAGUUAAGUUUUUGUGUUUUGGUCUGUUUUUCUUAUACUAUAUGCAAUAGUUCAACUAUAUUUGGUGUAUGGAAAUAUUUUAUGAUCUAUUUGGCAGUCACGCAGGUUUUAUUUGACCUUGACCUCAUUUUCAAGGUUCAUUGCUCAGUGUUAAGUUUUUGUGUUUUGGUCUGUUUUUCUUAAACUAUAAGCAAUAGGUCAACUCUAUUUGUUGUAUGGAAGAAUUGUUAGCUGUACAUGCCUGCCUAGCAUGGUUCAUCUGACCUUGACCUCAUUUUCAUGGUUCAUUGGUCAAUGUUUAGUUUACUUGGUUAAUGUUAAGUUUAUGUGACAGUUGUAAUAAAGCUUUAUAUUUAGGACUAUCAACAUAAUAUCAAUGAUUAGUAAAGAAGGCGAGACAUUUCAGCGUGUGCACUCUUGUGUUCUUUUUCAUACCAAAGCAUUGUUUACUUGAGAGGUUUUCAUACCAAAGCAUUGUUUACUUGAGAGGUUUUCAUACCAAAGCAUUGUUUACUUGAGAGAUUUUCUUCCAAAAAACACUUGAUAGAAUCAAAGUUUAGGGCUUAGAAAGAAUCAACUAUUUUAAUGGUUUUGUUUACUAUUAAAUGAAAAAGAAAUUGAAAACAAAGGUUGUAGUCAAUGUAAAUUAUUUUUGCAAAUUACUUUGUUUUGUAAUAUCUAGUCAAAUGUUUGGCUUUUUUUAAUUAUUAUAUUGUCUUUUUUAUUUAGCACCUUUGCAUUGUAUUGAAGAUGAAUUGUUUGCAUAUUUUGUAUAAAAUUGGGAAAAAAACAGGAACAGUUCUGCUCUCUGUUUAGCUGAGAAGGCCAAAGUAUCAAGUGAACUAUUGCUGCUUAGAAACAACUGGUCUAAUUUUCACAAUGCUAUAUAUAUUUUUUUUUAUUUGAUGAAGCGAACCCCUUUAAAAACUUAGCUAAUAUUGUCCAUUAAUAAGUAAAUAAAUUAAUUUUGUGGUGUUCUUUGAUCAUGUAUCUAGAUUUUUGAUAUUGGACCAUAAUAGAUAAAUGUCCAAUUUCAAAUUUUUAAGUUCUUAGACCAAAUUCAUUCUGUAUCAGAAACCUAUGCUGUGUCAAAUAUUUAAUCACAAUCCAAAUUCAGAGCUGUAUCAAGCUUGAAUGUUGUGUCCAUACUUGCCCCAACUGUUCAGGGUUUAAUCUCUGUGGUCAUAUCAAGCUGCUCCCUGCGAAGCAUUUUAUUGGUCAAUGGAAACAGCUUCUAAGAAGCCCUCUAUAUACAAAGCAAGUGUCACCAGCAUGAAUAUGAUUUUGACAAUGUAAGUGCAUUAAAUAUUUAUGUUAAAAAGGGGUUUGCAAAAUUGGUAGUUAUAGAAAAGAAAUAUUGUUCAACGGCUUAGGUACAUCAAACAUGCUCCUUCCAUACACUUUUGAUUAAGGCUAUUCCAAUUAAACAAAUAUAUGAGGAAGGGAAGUUUUAUUUUUUGACAUGGGUUGUGGAUGAUUUAUGCAUGUAUGUCCAUUUGUUGUUAACAAAAUUACUCAAAAAAGGAAUGCUGACUGGGGGGACUCUCCAACAUCCAUUUUGUUGGAAUAAUCUGUAACAUGGAAAAGUAUGUCCUCUUGAAAGUUGUCUCCCUUUACUGAAAAUUCUAAUUAAUAAUUUGAAAUUGGUCUAUACAGGUCACUAUUUACUAUGAAUAUGACAUAUGUAGAUACAGAGUAAAUUUGAAAACAGCAUAGCUAGUUUUUUACAACAUGUUGGUAUAUUUCAUGAUAAUGGUGUGAAUGCAUAUAUACAUAGAUUAUUAAAAAACGAAACAAAAUGUAAAAAUGUUUAAACAUUUUUUUUUUUUUUUAAAUAAUUUGAGGAUUUCCUUUCCAGUCAAUCUUAUAAAACAUUCAAACAACUACCAAUUGGUAUUAGUUUUCUUUUAGAUCAUGUGGAAAUAAUUAUAAAAUGUUAUUUUCCAAUUUUGAUGAAUGAAAGUCUAUAUAAUUAUUCAAUCAGUCAUGAAUAGGUUAACUAUGACACAUUGAUUUUUACACAAAUUUAACCAUUUUUAUCUUUGAGGAUAUUCCUUUUCCAAUUUGAAUCAAAAUGUUAAAGCAGACCCCUUUAUGGAAUUGUCUGGUGCCAAGUAAAAUUAGCCUCAAGACAUUAUAUCCUAUAUAUACAUGUAAAUAUCUCUUUAUUCAUAUACUUAGAUGAAUCUCAAGAAACAUUGUUGCCUUUAUUGUAAAGAUUCACAUACUGUGGAUUCAUUUAUUUUCGUGGGUAUAAUUUUUUCGUGGAUUGAGGAAAACUUGCAUUUUCGUGGAUAUUUGAUUUCGUGGUUUUGUCAAUCCCUGCAUACAAAGCCUAUAGAAUGUUUGUAAUUCAUUGAAGAUUUGAAUUUGUGGUUCACUUGUACACACAAAACCCACGAAAAUUGGUAUUCAAAGAAUAAUAAUGAAUCCACAGUAGAAUUGAAUGAAUUUAUGAUAACAUUUCAUAUGUGAUAAGAUAUUCAUCCAUCAUUGUUUUAUUUUGAUACCAGUUAUUAAAUAUGGAAAUAAA